Callorhinchus milii (elephant shark) is the source of this 371-nucleotide long non-coding RNA. RefSeq lists it as uncharacterized. NCBI's taxonomy places the organism in Eukaryota, Metazoa, Chordata, Chondrichthyes, Chimaeriformes, Callorhinchidae. The record is from RefSeq and is a predicted model, not a curated record. The transcript is spliced from 4 exons.
ACACUUCAUUAUUCGUGCAGUUGGUAAAGAUAGCUACCUGUCCAGUCAAGACUGCUCCUGUUAGGGUGUUGGCUUGUGGUAUCAUCUCUUGCUUGGCUGUAGACCUGAUUAGCUGUAUCAGCUGUCCCUCCUUAGUUCCUGUUCAACCAAAGUAACGCAGAGAGGAGCUAAAGAUUUGAAGAUUACCAAGAUCAUAUAGAAACGGAUAAGAAUGAAGUCUUCAAAAGGAUGUGUGGUUGUUGCUGUGACCAUCCCUUUAUUGAUUCUUUUAUCAAUAAUCGCUAUUCUUCUAGCAAUAUUUUUGGUGAAAGUUCCAGAUAAUUUGAGAACUCAACAGUCUUCACAAUUCAUGUCAAAUGCAAGUAAUCUAU